Molecule: long non-coding RNA, 793 nt
Organism: Anopheles arabiensis
Lineage: Eukaryota; Metazoa; Arthropoda; Insecta; Diptera; Culicidae
Exons: 3
Source: RefSeq, a predicted model, not a curated record
AAGCGGCUGCUGCGCGGCUCCCCACACGCACAUUGUUUAUCAACAAUCGAACGGGCACGCUCGUUCAUUGACACUUCAGAAGGGGUUGUUUUCUCGAAAUAUUGCUCUGGAAGGGUUGAUCACAUGACGUCAUUGGGUAAUGUUGUGAAAUAAAGCGGCACCUUCUUAAAUGCGAAAAUCACUUAUAGAAACGGUUAAACACACUAUGGAAAAGCAAAGACAACAACAUAGCGGAAGGAUCUACAAUCAGAACCUUUACACCACAAAUCCCUUCAAAAUCAGAAAAACUCCUCCAAGAUGUUCAAAAGAAUUGUUGUGACUCAUCUACAACCUUCAAAGGCAAGAAACGUAGUUGAUCAGUGAAUCAAUGUCUACCAUAUCUACGUUACAUGAAUUUAUCCUUCAAAAAUCCCUUGGAAGACGACGCCACUUAACCGUUAAGUCAUUCCAGCCUCUGUUUUAGCCUUCCAGGUGAGUAAUUUUCACUUCCACCAUGCAACAAGUUCGUUCUCUUCUUUCCAUAAAGUACUUGCCUGCAGCAUUGCUCGAGAAUGGCCUUGGACGACUGCUCAUUCCUUGCGACAAUCAAACGGCUUCCCAAGCGCAACAUUCUGACGUACACUGACCGAUUCAGAUUCACCAACCAAUUACGACGGUAAGCACGAGACUGACCGGUUCGCGAGUUGCAUCGCACCAGUUGUAGUAUGAAUUUUCAUGCACUCCACAAAAAAAGACUAAAAUAAAACAACCAAAAAACCCUUAAUACUCGGGAACCGGAUUAAAAUCUGCAGCC